AUACGGAAGGUCCGGGCGUUAUCCGGAUUUAUUGGGUUUAAAGGGAGCGCAGGCGGAGCUGCAAGCGUGACGUCAAAUUUCGGGGCUCAACCCCGUCUCGCGUCGCGAACUGCGUCCCUUGGUUGCGGGAAGGGGAGGCGGACCUAGAGGUGUAGCGGGUAAAUGCAUAGAUAUCACGAAGAACUCCGAUCGCGAAGGCAGCCUUCCGGCCCGUCAACGACGCUCAUGCCCGAAGGUGCGGGUAUCAAACAGGAUUAGAUACCCUGGUAGUCCGCACAGUAAACGAUGGACACCCGCGGUUUGGCCUGUAUGGCUGAGCCGCCAAGCGAAAGCGUUAAGUGUCCCACCUGGGGAGUACGCCGGCAACGGUGAAACUCAAAUGAAUUGACGGGG
Molecule: ribosomal RNA, 393 nt
Filed under: uncultured bacterium
Lineage: Bacteria
Description: partial 16S ribosomal RNA
Rfam family: Bacterial small subunit ribosomal RNA
Source: RNAcentral